AUGAAAAAUUUAUUUUUUAUAUAUAAAAAAAAUAGUUUUAAUACAAGUAUUUUUAAGAAAUUAAUAAGUUAAUGAUAGUGGAUAGUAUAGUGAUAGAAAUAUGAAUUAAUAUAAUUUAAUUAUUUGAAAGAAGAAUUCGGUUUUUGUACCUUGUGUAUCAGGGUUUAUUAAAAUAAGUUAAUAACUUAAUUUUCUCGAAUUGGAAAGAGCUAUAAUUAUAUAUAUUUAAUUGUUGCAUAAAUUUUUAAAAUAUGAUUAUAGAAAUGAAACGUUAGUCGUUUUUUAAGAUAUCUGGUUUUUUAAGAAAUAAAUUUAAUUUAGUUUUUUUAGUGUAUAUUAUUAAGUUAAUAGUGAUAUAUGUAAAGAUGGUAAUAUUUUAGGGGAUAAGCUUUAAAAUAAAUAAUUAAAAAUUGAUUUUAUAAUAUAGAAAAUUGGUAGGAUUGGAAAUGUUCAUCUGUAGUUUGUUAUAAUUAAUUUUUUAUUGAAUAAGAUUUAUAUGUAUUUUAGAUUGUUUAUUAAAAAUAUUUAUAUAAUUAUAUAUUAUAUGAUAUAAUGAUAAAAUUAGUAUAGUUUUUUGUAUUGUAUAGUUCAUUAUUGAGGUUAAAUUAAGGAACUCGGCAAAUACAUUUUUCGCCUGUUUAUUAAAAACAUGUCUUUUUGAUUAUAAUUUAAAGUCUAACCUGCCCAAUGAGGAGUUAAAUGGCCGCGGUACUUUGACCGUGCAAAGGUAGCAUAAUCAUUAGUUUUUUAAUUGAAAGCUGGAAUGAACGGUUGGACGAGAAAAUAACUGUCUCAAUUUAAUUGAUAUUAGAAUUUUAUUUAUAAGUAAAAAAGCUUAUAUUUAUUUAAAAGACGAGAAGACCCUAUAGAAUUUUAUAUAUAUUUAUAUACAUAUUAUUUUAGAAUGUUUAAUAUGUAUAUAAAGAUAUAUUUUGUUGGGGCGAUGGAAAAAUUGAAUAAACUUUUUUUAUAUAGAAUCAUUGAUUUAUGAGUAAAUGAUCCGUUAUUAACGAUUAUAAGAUUAAAUUACCUUAGGGAUAACAGCGUAAUUUUUUUUUAGAGUUCUUAUCGAAAAAAGAGUUUGCGACCUCGAUGUUGGAUUAAAAUUUACUUUUGGUGUAGGGGCUAAAAAGUUAGGUCUGUUCGACCUUUAAAAUUUUACAUGAUCUGAGUUUAAACCGGCGUGAGCCAGGUUGGUUUCUAUCUUUAAGAAAAUUAUAUGUCUUAGUACGAAAGGAUUAGAUAUGUGUAAUAUUUAUUAUAUUUUGAAUGGUAUU
Molecule: ribosomal RNA, 1277 nt
Filed under: Trichogomphus mongol
Lineage: Eukaryota; Metazoa; Arthropoda; Insecta; Coleoptera; Scarabaeidae
Description: 16S ribosomal RNA
Rfam family: Bacterial large subunit ribosomal RNA (bases 822-1214)
Source: RNAcentral